UACGUAGGGUGCGAGCGUUGUCCGGAAUUACUGGGCGUAAAGAGCUCGUAGGUGGUUUGUCGCGUUGUUCGUGAAAACUCACAACUCAAUUGCGGGCGUGCGGGCGAUACGGGCAGACUGGAGUACUGCAGGGGAGACUGGAAUUCCUGGUGUAGCGGUGGAAUGCGCAGAUAUCAGGAGGAACACCGGUGGCGAAGGCGGGUCUCUGGGCAGUAACUGACGCUGAGGAGCGAAAGCGUGGGGAGCGAACAGG
RNAcentral lists this ribosomal RNA (253 nucleotides) under uncultured bacterium. RNAcentral describes it as "partial 16S ribosomal RNA". It matches the Rfam family "Bacterial small subunit ribosomal RNA", at positions 524 to 776 of the family's 1533-position model. The record is from RNAcentral.